Molecule: ribosomal RNA, 1286 nt
Filed under: metagenome
Description: bacterial SSU rRNA
Rfam family: Bacterial small subunit ribosomal RNA
Source: RNAcentral
UAGCUAGUUGGUGAGGUAAAGGCUUACCAAGGCGACGAUCUGUAGCGGGUCUGAGAGGAUGAUCCGCCACACUGGAACUGAGACACGGUCCAGACUCCUACGGGAGGCAGCAGUGGGGAAUUUUGGACAAUGGGGGCAACCCUGAUCCAGCCAUGCCGCGUGAGUGAAGAAGGCCUUCGGGUUGUAAAGCUCUUUCGGCCGGGAAGAAAUCGCAUGGGCCAAUACCCUGUGUGGAUGACGGUACCGGAAUAAGAAGCACCGGCUAACUACGUGCCAGCAGCCGCGGUAAUACGUAGUGUGCGAGCGUUAAUCGGAAUUACUGGGCGUAAAGCGUGCGCAGGCGGUUUUGUAAGACAGGCGUGAAAUCCCCGGGCUUAACCUGGGAACUGCGUUUGUGACUGCAAGGCUAGAGUACGGCAGAGGGGGGUGGAAUUCCACGUGUAGCAGUGAAAUGCGUAGAGAUGUGGAGGAACACCAAUGGCGAAGGCAGCCCCCUGGGUCGAUACUGACGCUCAUGCACGAAAGCGUGGGUAGCAAACAGGAUUAGAUACCCUGGUAGUCCACGCCCUAACUAUGUCAACUAGGUGUUGGGUGGGUAAAACCGUUUAGUACCGUAGCUAACGCGUGAAGUUGACCGCCUGGGGAGUACGGCCGCAAGGUUAAAACUCAAAGGAAUUGACGGGGACCCGCACAAGCGGUGGAUGAUGUGGAUUAAUUCGAUGCAACGCGAAAAACCUUACCUACCCUUGACAUGCCAGGAACUUGCCAGAGAUGGCUUGGUGCCCGAAAGGGAGCCUGGACACAGGUGCUGCAUGGCUGUCGUCAGCUCGUGUCGUGAGAUGUUGGGUUAAGUCCCGCAACGAGCGCAACCCUUGUCGUUAAUUGCCAUCAUUUAGUUGGGCACUUUAACGAGACUGCCGGUGACGAACCGGAGGAAGGUGGGGAUGACGUCAAGUCCUCAUGGCCCUUAUGGGUAGGGCUUCACACGUCAUACAAUGGUCGGUACAAAGGGUUGCCAAGCCGCGAGGCGGAGCCAAUCCCAGAAAGCCGAUCGUAGUCCGGAUUGCAGGCUGCAACUUGCCUGCAUGAAGUCGGAAUCGCUAGUAAUCGUGGAUCAGCAUGUCACGGUGAAUACGUUCCCGGGUCUUGUACACACCGCCCGUCACACCAUGGGAGCGGGUUCCGCCAGAAGUAGGUAGCCUAACCGCAAGGGGGGCGCUUACCACGGCGGGGUUCGUGACUGGGGUGAAAUCGGAACAAGGUAGCCGUAGGGGAACCUGCGGCUG